Molecule: unclassified non-coding RNA, 208 nt
Filed under: Hevea brasiliensis (rubber tree)
Lineage: Eukaryota; Viridiplantae; Streptophyta; Magnoliopsida; Malpighiales; Euphorbiaceae
Source: RNAcentral
GAUAAAUGUUUAGGGCCUGCUUGAUAUCCAUUUUGUUUUUGGUUUUGGUUUUUGUUGUCCAAUUAUUAAAGAAGAAUAACACUCUUCUCUUUUAUUUCAAGUUCUCCAACUAUUACUACUAUGAAACUAUAGGGUAGUAACAAUUUACAUAUUAUGGGCUGCUUCUAUAGAGCUAUGGUUUAUUGGUCAGGGCUAUGAUGAUCAUUUA